GUGUCAGCCGCCGCGGUAAUACAGAGGGGGCAAGCGUUAUUCGGAAUUAUUGGGCGUAAAGGGCGCGUAGGCGGCCUUUCAAGUCUCUCGUGAAAUCCCUCGGCUUAACCGAGGACGUGCGGGAGAUACUGUCAGGCUUGAGUCCGGAAGAGGGUGGUGGAAUUCCCAGUGUAGCGGUGAAAUGCGUAGAUAUUGGGAGGAACACCGGUGGCGAAGGCGGCCACCUGGGCCGGAACUGACGCUGAGGCGCGAAAGUGUGGGUAGCAAACGGGAUUAGAUACCCUGGUAGUCC
RNAcentral lists this ribosomal RNA (292 nucleotides) under uncultured bacterium. RNAcentral describes it as "partial 16S ribosomal RNA". It matches the Rfam family "Bacterial small subunit ribosomal RNA", at positions 505 to 796 of the family's 1533-position model. The record is from RNAcentral.